GGCUUAUCUGGCAGAGUUAUGUGGGGUAUCCUGAGUCUGGCAGAGCCAAAGGUAUGGCAGAGGCUGGAGCCAAUGUCCCCAUGGCAGCUGGGAGUAGAGGGAUUGACGUUUGCAGCUCCCAGAGUGUCUUGGCUAACUCACAUGUCUGACCCUGGGAAGCGCUUUCUUCUUUGCAUAGGGCCAAAGUCCAGCUGGGUCAAUGGGGCAGUUUCUGUGAUGGGUCAGGUGAUGAGAAACAUUGGGCCCCCUGGCGGCCCUUCCUGACAGGUACAGCUCAGAGGAAUGGGGAACUCCAGCUGAGGAGGGAUGAGAGACAGGGGAGCAAAGAGAACAAGAGAUCAGCCCUUCAGAAGGGAAAAACCCCAUAUAAGGCUGCCAGGGUCCUCAGCCCUUUCAGUUCUGGGGUCCAUAAGGGACCUGCAGCCUUUGAUUGGGUCCUGUGAUAUUAACUUUGUGUCUUUCUUCUUUGCUG
RNAcentral lists this long non-coding RNA (472 nucleotides) under Marmota monax (woodchuck). The record is from RNAcentral. Lineage: Eukaryota; Metazoa; Chordata; Mammalia; Rodentia; Sciuridae.